AACGAACGCUGGCGGCGUGCUUAACGCAUGCAAGUCGAACGAGAACGCACCUUCGGGUGUUAGUAGAGUGGCGCACGGGUGAGUAACACGUGGGUGACCUGCCCUUUGGCUUGGGAUAACUCGAGGAAACUCGAGCUAAUACCAAAUAAGACCACAUCUCUUGUGAUGUGGGAAAAGCUAGGGACCUUUUCGGAGGCCUGGCACCGAAGGAUGGGCCCGCGGUCCAUCAGGUAGUUGGUGGGGUAAUGGCCUACCAAGCCUAAGACGGAUAGCUGGUCUGAGAGGAUGAUCAGCCACACUGGAACUGAGACACGGUCCAG
This 320-nucleotide ribosomal RNA is filed under the name uncultured bacterium. RNAcentral's name for it is "bacterial SSU rRNA". It matches the Rfam family "Bacterial small subunit ribosomal RNA", at positions 29 to 334 of the family's 1533-position model. The record is from RNAcentral.